GCCCGAGUGGUGGAAUGGCAGACACAGGGGCCUCAAAAGCCUCGGUCGCAAGACGUGUGAGUUCGAGUCUCACCUUGGGCA
This 81-nucleotide transfer RNA is filed under the name Caudoviricetes sp. RNAcentral describes it as "tRNA-Leu". It matches the Rfam family "tRNA". From Rfam's summary of the family: Transfer RNA (tRNA) molecules are approximately 80 nucleotides in length. Their secondary structure includes four short double-helical elements and three loops (D, anti-codon, and T loops). Further hydrogen bonds mediate the characteristic L-shaped molecular structure. tRNAs have two regions of fundamental functional importance: the anti-codon, which is responsible for specific mRNA codon recognition, and the 3' end, to which the tRNAs corresponding amino acid is attached (by aminoacyl-tRNA synthetases). tRNAs cope with the degeneracy of the genetic code in two manners: having more than one tRNA (with a specific anti-codon) for a particular amino acid; and 'wobble' base-pairing, i.e. permitting non-standard base-pairing at the 3rd anti-codon position. The record is from RNAcentral. Lineage: Duplodnaviria; Heunggongvirae; Uroviricota; Caudoviricetes.